UACAGAGGUGGCAAGCGUUGUCCGGAAUUACUGGGCGUAAAGGGUGCGCAGGCGGUCCUGCAAGUCAGGCGUGAAAUCCCCGGGCUUAACCUGGGAAUGGCACUUGAAACUACGGGACUGGAGUAUGGCAGAGGGAGGUGGAAUUCCACGUGUAGCGGUGAAAUGCGUAGAGAUGUGGAGGAACACCGAUGGCGAAGGCAGGUCUCUGGGCUGACACUGACGCUCAUGCACGAAAGCGUGGGGAGCAAACAGG
RNAcentral lists this ribosomal RNA (253 nucleotides) under uncultured bacterium. Its description in RNAcentral is "partial 16S ribosomal RNA". It matches the Rfam family "Bacterial small subunit ribosomal RNA", at positions 524 to 776 of the family's 1533-position model. The record is from RNAcentral.